UGACCAGACUCCUACGGGAGGCAGCAGUGGGGGAUAUUGCACAAUGGGGGAAACCCUGAUGCAGCGACGCCGCGUGUGGGAAGACGGUCUUCUGGAUUGUAAACCACUGUCCCCAGGGACGAAAAUGACGGUACCUGGGGAGGAAGCUCCGGCUAACUACGUGCCAGCAGCCGCGGUAAUACGUAGGGAGCAAGCGUUGUCCGGAAUUACUGGGUGUAAAGGGCGUGUAGGCGGGACUGCAAGUCAGAUGUGAAAACCACGGGCUCAACCUGUGGCCUGCAUUUGAAACUGUAGUUCUUGAGUACUGGAGAGGCAGACGGAAUUCCUAGUGUAGCGGUGAAAUGCGUAGAUAUUAGGAGGAACACCAGUGGCGAAGGCGGUCUGCUGGACAGCAACUGACGCUGAGGCGCGAAAGCGUGGGGAGCAAACAGGAUUAGAUACCCCAGUAC
Molecule: ribosomal RNA, 449 nt
Filed under: uncultured bacterium
Lineage: Bacteria
Description: bacterial SSU rRNA
Rfam family: Bacterial small subunit ribosomal RNA
Source: RNAcentral